GGCGAACGGGUGAGUAACACGUGAGUAACCUGCCCUUGACUCUGGGAUAAGCCUUGGAAACGAGGUCUAAUACCGGAUAGGAGCACUCAUCGCAUGGUGGGUGUUGGAAAGAAUUUCGGUCAUGGAUGGACUCGCGGCCUAUCAGCUUGUUGGUGAGGUAAUGGCUCACCAAGGCGACGACGGGUAGCCGGCCUGAGAGGGUGACCGGCCACACUGGGACUGAGACACGGCCCAGACUCCUACGGGAGGCAGCAGUGGGGAAUAUUGCACAAUGGGCGAAAGCCUGAUGCAGCGACGCCGCGUGAGGGAUGACGGCCUUCGGGUUGUAAACCUCUUUCAGUAGGGAAGAAGCGAAAGUGACGGUACCUGCAGAAGAAGCACCGGCUAACUACGUGCCAGCAGCCGCGGUAAUACGUAGGGUGCGAGCGUUAUCCGGAAUUAUUGGGCGUAAAGAGCUCGUAGGCGGUUUGUCGCGUCUGCCGUGAAAGUCCGGGGCUUAACUCCGGAUCUGCGGUGGGUACGGGCAGACUAGAGUGCAGUAGGGGAGACUGGAAUUCCUGGUGUAGCGGUGGAAUGCGCAGAUAUCAGGAGGAACACCGAUGGCGAAGGCAGGUCUCUGGGCUGUAACUGACGCUGAGGAGCGAAAGCAUGGGGAGCGAACAGGAUUAGAUACCCUGGUAGUCCAUGCCGUAAACGUUGGGCACUAGGUGUGGGGGCCAUUCCACGGUUUCCGCGCCGCAGCUAACGCAUUAAGUGCCCCGCCUGGGGAGUACGGCCGCAAGGCUAAAACUCAAAGGAAUUGACGGGGGCCCGCACAAGCGGCGGAGCAUGCGGAU
Molecule: ribosomal RNA, 836 nt
Filed under: Micrococcus lylae
Lineage: Bacteria; Bacillati; Actinomycetota; Actinomycetes; Micrococcales; Micrococcaceae
Description: bacterial SSU rRNA
Rfam family: Bacterial small subunit ribosomal RNA
Source: RNAcentral